RNAcentral lists this ribosomal RNA (293 nucleotides) under uncultured bacterium. RNAcentral describes it as "partial 16S ribosomal RNA". It matches the Rfam family "Archaeal small subunit ribosomal RNA", at positions 455 to 747 of the family's 1478-position model. The record is from RNAcentral.
GUGCCAGCCGCUGCGGUAAUACCGGCAGCUCGAGUGAUGUCCAAUAUUAUUGGGCCUAAAGCGUCCGUAGCUGGCCGCGCAAGUCCGUCGGGAAAUCCACCUGCUCAACAGGUGGGCGCCCGGUGGAAACUGUGCGGCUUGGGACCGGAAGGCGCGACGGGUACGUCCGGGGUAGGAGUGAAAUCCCGUAAUCCUGGACGGACCGCCGAUGGCGAAAGCACGUCGCGAGAACGGAUCCGACAGUGAGGGACGAAAGCCAGGGUCUCGAACCGGAUUAGAUACCCGUGUAGUCC